UGGAAGGAACGUGAACUGAUGAGUCGACAACAGGCUACUAUGAUGAACAACGCAAUCAAGUGGUUGAUCUUGGCUUUUGCUGUCGCCAUGCUGAUCGCAACUGGUGACGCUCUGCUAUGCACACGCUGUAUGCCCAAUUCGCGCUUUAUGGGGUGUGGUGUACAAACAUGUCAUCCAGGCCAAGUCUGCGUAGACGAUCCAUGUGAGUAUCUGUAUGGUUUCAUAUUUUUUUUAUUUUAGAGGGGACUUUGCAAUUGUCCAAAAAGAAUCAUAUUUAUUCGUUUUUCUGUAAGAGUGAUUCUUGCAGUCCCAUUUCUUAAAGUAUAAAUAUCCGUCACAAAACCACUCACAAACUAAAAGCUUUCCUUGUACUGAGUUUAGAAUUUUCCAACACACACUUUUUAAAGAACUGUAAAUACAACUCACUGCUUCCACUCAAAACAAUAAUCACAUGUUGUGUUUUCUCUGUAUUCAAGUGUUCAUUGGCCAGCGCUGUGCGGAUCCGUGAAUGUGACGACAGACAAACCCCCAAUGCAAAAUGUCCCAAAAUGGACUUCUGCGACAUGGAAGGGUUUGUGGGGGUUGAAGAUCCAACCUAUGGUCUUGGUAGUUUAGUUGAGAAGCAUUCAAAAAUGUUGAAAAAAAUAAAUAAAAAGUGAUCAUCAAAUGAU
Syngnathus acus (greater pipefish) is the source of this 671-nucleotide long non-coding RNA. RefSeq lists it as uncharacterized. The record is from RefSeq and is a predicted model, not a curated record. Lineage: Eukaryota; Metazoa; Chordata; Actinopteri; Syngnathiformes; Syngnathidae. The transcript is spliced from 2 exons.